RNAcentral lists this ribosomal RNA (429 nucleotides) under uncultured bacterium. Its description in RNAcentral is "bacterial SSU rRNA". It matches the Rfam family "Bacterial small subunit ribosomal RNA", at positions 355 to 776 of the family's 1533-position model. The record is from RNAcentral.
UGGGGAAUAUUGGACAAUGGGGGAAACCCUGAUCCAGCAAUGCCGCGUGUGUGAAGAAGGCCUUCGGGUUGUAAAGCACUUUCAGUUGGGAGGAAGGGUGUAAUGCUAAUACCAUUACACAUUGACGUUACCGACAGAAGAAGCACCGGCUAACUCUGUGCCAGCAGCCGCGGUAAUACAGAGGGUGCAAGCGUUAAUCGGAAUUACUGGGCGUAAAGCGUGUGUAGGUGGUUGGAUAAGUUAGAUGUGAAAUCCCCGAGCUUAACUUGGGCAUUGCGUUUAAGACUGUUCGGCUAGAGUACUGUAGAGGAUAGUGGAAUUUCCAGUGUAGCGGUGAAAUGCGUAGAUAUUGGAAGGAACACCAGUGGCGAAGGCGACUAUCUGGAUAGAUACUGACACUGAGACACGAAAGCGUGGGGAGCAAACAGG